This 272-nucleotide ribosomal RNA is filed under the name uncultured Sphingobacteriales bacterium. Its description in RNAcentral is "partial 16S ribosomal RNA". It matches the Rfam family "Bacterial small subunit ribosomal RNA", at positions 1110 to 1382 of the family's 1533-position model. Lineage: Bacteria; Pseudomonadati; Bacteroidota; Sphingobacteriia; Sphingobacteriales. The record is from RNAcentral.
GUUAGUUGCCAGCGGGUAGAGCCGGGAACUCUAACGGGACUGCCACCGUAAGGUGAGAGGAAGUGGGGAUGACGUCAAAUCAGCACGGCCCUUAUGUCCAGGGCUACACACGUGUUACAAUGGCCGGUACAAAGGGCAGCCAACCCGCGAGGGGGAGCCAAUCCCAUAAAACCGAUCGUAGUCCGGAUUGGAGUCUGCAACUCGACUCCAUGAAGUCGGAAUCGCUAGUAAUCGUGGAUCAGAAUGCCACGGUGAAUACGUUCCCGGGCCUU